GUGCUAGCACUCUAGGCCACAGCACAUAUAAUAAAAUUGGAACGAUACAGAGAAGAUCAGCAUGGUCCCUGCACAAGGACCAUAAUCACACAUAUAAAUAUAUUUUAUUUUA
This is a small nuclear RNA of Sorex fumeus (smoky shrew), 112 nucleotides long. The record is from RefSeq and is a predicted model, not a curated record. NCBI's taxonomy places the organism in Eukaryota, Metazoa, Chordata, Mammalia, Eulipotyphla, Soricidae.